This 438-nucleotide long non-coding RNA is filed under the name Cyanistes caeruleus (blue tit). Its description in RNAcentral is "lncRNA (ENSCCEG00000014443.1)". The record is from RNAcentral. Lineage: Eukaryota; Metazoa; Chordata; Aves; Passeriformes; Paridae.
CAGUUCUUCAAAAUGUCUGUAUAGGUAUUCCCAUUUCAGUCCCUGGGUCAUGAGCCAAACAGAGGUGAUGAGAUGAAGUUUUGUGAGCUCUAUAAUUAACAGAUGGUCUUCUGAGCAGCAGAAGUGAACCAGCCUGCUUUCCUGUGGAUCUAUGCCAUAUUUGGAUUCUUUUCUAAGAAGGAGGGAAUUCUUUCUCCAGUCUUUUGCUUACAAAAGGCUGUAUUCAGGGACUGAUGGUAGCAGACUUUCCAGAGUGUCCUUUCAUCCUGGCUUCCAUUAUGACACAGAAACUCAGGACUUGUCUAGCUUGGAUGAUUGUUUCAUUUCCUCGUUGAAAAGGUGAUUACCCCUUUAGUUCUCAUAAUUACCUAAUCAGCAAAAAUCAAAUCAAUCAAUGUUAAUUUCAACCCUAAUAAAUAUUCUCUGCUAUUCUAUACA